AAAAAAGCAAACUCUGAGUUUGCGUCCAACUUUAACCGUUUGUUUUAUAUGAAAAUUUUUUAUAAUUUGUAUUUUCAUUGUUGUUAGAUGAUAAAACAUGAUUAAUAUUUUAUGCGUGACUUGUCUUUUUAAUUCUUUUAUAAUUUUUUCAAAUAAGACGGUCCAAUAUUGGACACAGAAACUAGGAUUUGUCCCUCUU
Molecule: microRNA precursor, 199 nt
Organism: Oryza rufipogon (brownbeard rice)
Lineage: Eukaryota; Viridiplantae; Streptophyta; Magnoliopsida; Poales; Poaceae
Rfam family: MIR812 microRNA precursor family
Source: Rfam